Molecule: ribosomal RNA, 440 nt
Filed under: uncultured bacterium
Lineage: Bacteria
Description: partial 16S ribosomal RNA
Rfam family: Bacterial small subunit ribosomal RNA
Source: RNAcentral
CCUACGGGUGGCAGCAGUGGGGAAUAUUGCACAAUGGGGGAAACCCUGAUGCAGCGACGCCGCGUGAGUGAAGAAGUAAUUCGUUAUGUAAAGCUCUAUCAGCAGGGAAGAAAAUGACGGUACCUGAGUAAGAAGCCCCGGCUACCUACGUGCCAGCCGCCGCGGUAAUACGUAGGGGGCAAGCGUUAUCCGGAUUUACUGGGUGUAACGGGAGCGUAGACGGCAGUGCAAGUCUGGAGUGAAAGGCGGGGGGUCAACCCCCGGACUGCACUGGAAACUGUAAGGCUGGAGUGCAGGAGAGGUAAGUGGAAUUCCUAGUGUAGCGGUGAAAUGCGCAGAUAUUAGGAGGAACACCAGUGGCGAAGGCGGCUUACUGGACUGUAACUGACGUUGAGGCUCGAAAGCGUGGGGAGCAAACAGGAUUAGAUACCCGGGUAGUC